Molecule: non-coding RNA, 452 nt
Organism: Macaca mulatta (Rhesus monkey)
Lineage: Eukaryota; Metazoa; Chordata; Mammalia; Primates; Cercopithecidae
Source: RefSeq, a predicted model, not a curated record
GUCUAAAACUAUUAUUAUAUUGGAGUCUAUCUCUGCCGAGGCCAUGGGAAGCUACUACGCCAUGUUUAUAAGCAUUGGCAUGACAGGAUCAGGUUGCCUUUGGGAACCAUCACCCUGGUGGCACUGUGAAGAACUGACUAGAGGGAAACGAGACUGGAAGAGGAUGGGAUCAAUCAGGAGGAUACUUCAGGACUGUAAGCAAGAAAUAACGAUGGAGUCGGCUAAAAGAUGACAGAGAGGGCUACAGAAAUGCAGAGUUAUUGGAAAAGUCUGAAAUGUUUAGGAAGCAAAAUUCCAAAGACUUGAGAUUUCCCUAAAUUUACCAUUUCUGUCACUGCCAAAAAUGUUUAGCAACUUUGCAAAAACACUAUGACAGAACCCCUAAGUUACAUCAUGUGAAAAAUUAAGCUCAAUAAAUGGUCGCUGAAUAAAUGAACAGAAAAUAUCAAAAA